GAAAGGAGAGAAGUAGUGUGAAUUGCAGAAUUCAGUGAAUCAUCGAAUCUUUGAACGCACAUUGCGCCCCUUGGUAUUCCAUGGGGCAUGCCUGUUCGAGCGUCAUUUGUACCCUCAAGCUCUGCUUGGUGUUGGGUGUUUGUCCCGUCUCCGCGCGUGGACUCGCCCCAAAGUGAUUGGCAGCCGGCGUACUGGUCCCGGAGCGCAGCACAUGUCGCGCAAACGAGUGCCUUGGUACGGCGGCGUCCAUAAGCCCCUCUCUCACGCUCUUGACCUCGGAUCAGGUAGGGAUACCCGCUGAACUUAAGC
RNAcentral lists this unclassified non-coding RNA (309 nucleotides) under plant metagenome. RNAcentral describes it as "partial contains 5.8S ribosomal RNA, internal transcribed spacer 2, and large subunit ribosomal RNA". The stretch from base 1 to 105 matches the Rfam family "5.8S ribosomal RNA", at positions 50 to 154 of the family's 154-position model. The record is from RNAcentral.